This 453-nucleotide ribosomal RNA is filed under the name uncultured bacterium. RNAcentral's name for it is "bacterial SSU rRNA". It matches the Rfam family "Bacterial small subunit ribosomal RNA", at positions 335 to 803 of the family's 1533-position model. The record is from RNAcentral.
ACUCCUACGGGAGGCAGCAGUGGGGAAUAUUGCACAAUGGGCGCAAGCCUGAUGCAGCGACGCCGCGUGGGGAUGACGCCUUCGGGUUGUAAACUCCUUUCGCUAGGGACGAAGCUUUUUGUGACGGUACCUAGAUAAGAAGCACCGGCUAACUACGUGCCAGCAGCCGCGGUAAUACGUAGGGUGCGAGCGUUGUCCGGAAUUACUGGGCGUAAAGGGCUCGUAGGUGGUUUGUCGCGUCGUCUGUGAAAUUCCGGGGCUUAACUCCGGGCGUGCAGGCGAUACGGGCAUAACUUGAGUACUGUAGGGGUAACUGGAAUUCCUGGUGUAGCGGUGAAAUGCGCAGAUAUCAGGAGGAACACCGAUGGCGAAGGCAGGUUACUGGGCAGUUACUGACGCUGAGGAGCGAAAGCAUGGGUAGCGAACAGGAUUAGAUACCCUGGUAGGCGUAGU